UGUUGCCUCUACGUGUGUGCUGCUCUCAGAGAGAGAAGCCAAGCUUGUCAGGGCUUGGAAUUUAUACAAUUAAGAGGAUGCCUUGACAAAUGGAUGGAACUAGAAGAAACCAUCCUGAAUGAGGAAGUCAACCGCUUUUUCUUAAGUGUAAAUCACCUGAUGAGGAAGAACCAGAGCUAAUGUUACCCUCCACCCAACAUGGUUACUAUGUGUCAAGAACUGUGCCAAAGUAUACAGGUUUUAAUUUAAUCACAUGAGCCCUGUGAGGUAGUUAUAGCCUCCAUUUACUUGAGAAGACUUUUAAACUGAGGUCCCAAAGGUUGCCACUCAACUCUUUACCCCAUUCAUUAAAAGCCUUCAUCAAAAAGCAUGGAGUGGUGACUACACUCGAAAGUGAGAGUUGGGACUGAAAUGAUGGCCAGAAGUAAAGAAUAUUAGUGCUCUUCCUGAGGAGUUGGAUUCAAUUCCCAGCACCCACAUGCGACUCAAAAUCAUCUGUGACUCCAGUUCCAGGAGACUCAGUGCCCUCUUCUGGCCUCUGUGGACAUAUAUACACAUGGUGUACAGAUAGAGAUGCAGGCAAAACAUCCAUAUGCAUAAAAUAAAAAUUUUAAAUA
RNAcentral lists this long non-coding RNA (617 nucleotides) under Cricetulus griseus (Chinese hamster). RNAcentral describes it as "lncRNA (ENSCGRG00015029831.1)". Lineage: Eukaryota; Metazoa; Chordata; Mammalia; Rodentia; Cricetidae. The record is from RNAcentral.